AUGGACGUCCACAGGGCAGAGUCUCCCCAUACAGGAGCCGCUACUCUAGACCCCCGACGGGCCGAGGCCGCCAACAGGCACGUGAGGGCACUAAAUACCCAGUUUGCAAGCUGGGUGCAAUCGCAGUUGCAAAACCAUCCAGCUGAACUUUGGGAGGAUGGCGUGAAAGAUUACUUAUCCCAUGCUUCUGAAAUAAUGGAAAAUUUCAAGGAUGUUGUCAAUUGGCUUAGGCAGAAUAAAUCAGGUACAACAGCUGUUUCAUCCCCAAGUCCAGCCAAUGAGGAGAAGACUACUAUGCCGGCAACUGUCAAUAGCAAGUUUAUGGUACAGCCAGGAUCAGAUAAUGGACAGAAGAGUCCAACUACAGGAGCCAGCUCCCUAGCUUUUCAGAACUCAAGCUCACCGAAUAUGUUCUCACUCCCUUCUCAGAAGAAAACGGCACCUUUUGGCGGCAUAUUUGAUAACAAGGACACUCCUGGCGACAGCAGCAAAUCGACUUUCCAGUUUGGUGGAAAUAACGCCUUUUCAACACCAACUAACACGCCUGGUGAUAGCAGCAAAUCGACUUUCCAGUUUGGUGGAAAUAACGGCUUUUCAACACCAACUACUCCGUCCAUUUUUUCUACCCCUGGUUCCAGUUUUAACAUGCCAACCUCAACACUGUUUUCAAUGAACCAGCAACCAAUUUUCACUGGAUCAGGAAACAACAAAGCUGCUGAAGCUUCAGCUGAUGCGGAUGAAGAUGCUGAAGCCGAGCAACCAAGCAGCCCUUCUGUAAAGAAAGCAGAAGAGAAAGGAAUAGUUGUUGUUCAUGAAGCCAAAUGCAAGGUGUAUGUGAAGCACGAUGAUGCUACCAAGGGUUGGAAAGACAUUGGUGUUGGUCAGCUCUCUAUCAGAUGUAAAGAGGGUGCAGAGAAAGCUUCGAAAGAGUCCACCCCAACAGUUGUUAUCAGAAAUGAUGUCGGCAAGAUUCUUCUGAAUGCUAUGAUCUACAAGGGGAUAAAAAUGAGUGUUCAAAAGAACACGGUUGCCUCGAUAUUUCACACUUCAGAUGCGCAGUCUGAAUCAGAUGGUGGCAAUGUUGUAGCUCGAACAUACUUACUCCGACUGAAAAACGAAGAGGCGGCUACAAACUUGUCAGCGGUGAUCAAAGAGAAUGCGCCGCUGGACUGA
RNAcentral lists this ribosomal RNA (1173 nucleotides) under Triticum aestivum (bread wheat). RNAcentral's name for it is "partial small subunit ribosomal RNA". Lineage: Eukaryota; Viridiplantae; Streptophyta; Magnoliopsida; Poales; Poaceae. The record is from RNAcentral.